AUGGUGGAGAGCACGGCUAGCUUGGAUCGCCUGAGGUAGUUCAAGCUGCAUAGCUCUUUUGAGGGGUGCUUAUUUAAAAAGCUGUUGGAAGGAUUGGACUAUGCUACAAGGGUCACUAGCUUGUCCUUUCUGGCUGAGGAUUUCUGAGGGAUUUAAAUGGGCAGGAGAGAAGGAGUUCCUUCCCACUUAUAUGGGUCCUGUCCUUCAAUGUGCUUUUCCUUCCAGACAUUCUUUCCUCCUUCCAGGAACCUCUUAAAACGACCUUUGCUUACCCCUCCAUUGAUCAAUGGACUUUCACUAAGUUUCUAGAAAGCUAUUGGUUCUGCAUGCGUCCUCUUUCUUUUGGCCUUUAGUCUCAAUGCCAUGCAGAAAAGGAAAAGGAAAGGUCUUUCUUUCUUUUGCAAGUUUCAGGAGAAACCUCCUAGAGAAGCUGAGCAGGGGUUUCAGCCACCAAAAUAGCCCAAGCCCUGCUCUGAUCCUACUCUCAUUUUUCUUCCCAAGUUGGGUUGUUGGAUUCUCUUUUGUUCUGACCUGGUUGUUAAGGUCCUUCAGCUCCAUCCAGGAACUGAAGGAGAGACUCUGGCAAAGAUGAGCUACGUGCCUCCCUCCCUCAUCUGGAUGUGUUUGUACCUAAUAGCUAGGUGUUAUAGAAAGAAGAGAUGCCUUCACAUACCAAAAAGAUUUCAAUAGUGUACAGGAAUCAUCUUCCUAGACUACUCUGAGUGGGAACGAUCGGACAUGACUCGAACUCAGAUCAAACUAUCCCCAUCUUGUGCUCACUGAACUUCUUCUAGUGCUUGAGAGAUGGACUAGAUAUUUUUGUGAUGGGAUGGACUACCAAAGACACACUGCCCCUCUGGGGUCUUCAAGGCAGAGUUGCAUGAACUGCUGAUGGUCUUCCUCUCCUGAGCUGACUUGCCUGCAUACAGAAAUGCUGCAGGGAAGCUUGGGUCGCACUGCUUUCUCUGAGGCAAGAGGCCAGCUGCUUCGCAAAAGUUGGAGAGUCAGAGAAGAGAGAGCACAUGCCGCGGGAUGCAACAGGUGACACUGCAGAAAACGCCUCACUCUAGAGUUCUGGAACUGCAGGGAACCAGUUGCUGCAGCUGCUUCGGGGGGCAUAGCAGUCCUUGCCCAUAUAAUUAGGACUAUUGACCAACACUGGGGAAAAAAGGGCAAGGCAGAAGAAAAGCAACUUUGCAGAAAGAUUGCUCUGUUGGAUUCCGUUGCUGGAAGAACAGUGGUGGAGAACAAUUGGCCAGGCCACUCUGGGAGCCUUCUCGAUGGAACUCCCGCAAGUGACAGUGAGUCAUCCGGAAAUGGCUGGGAGCUUAAGCACUUCCUGAAUGGCGUGUGGGAGCCGAACUGACGGCAGAGAGGCGGCUCAGAGACCCCAGCGAGCAGGAGGGCUGGAAGGACGUCAGAGUGCAAGAGCUCCCGCGGCGCCUGUGGAGAGAGUCCCUGGAGAAGGAAGGGCUUUUGCUUCUGUGACCAGAGAAGCUCUUCUGAUCCUUUGAGCCAUCCCUGACCUCUGAGGAAGAAGCACUGGCUGUGAGGGGGCAAAGCGGAGAGAUAACAUCUGGAUGGACAUGGCAGCACGGGCCAAGGAGCUGGGGCAGCUGCUGCAGCUUUGGCGACCAAGAAGAAGUUCCCAUACUGAGGAAUCUCCCAAUGGGAGGCACCCAGCGGAAAACCAAGGACUUGCGAGGGGCUGCAUGUGCUAAAGAAGCUGUGAAGUCUCAAAGGGGCAGCUAGAGCAAUACGGAUGCUGGGGCUGGGCAACAGGGGAGGUUGACGUCCUUCAAGAUUUGCAUGUGGUGGACCUCCAAUGGGGAGGAAAAAUGGACCGGAACUGGGGAGAACAGUGAAGAAUGCUAUGGAUGGGGAUAGCUAAAAUUUUCUUUCCUGUUCAGUUCAUUCAAAGGGUUCGUCCAAAACGGCUUGGCAACCCUAUUGCUGUGGAGUUUGGGCAGUUGAAGCUAGAGGCCCAUGUUCAGAAAAAUGUCUUGGAAUCAAAGAUGUUUGACUGAGCUGCAGAGUCACAGGGCAUAUCUAGCUUCCCACAUUGACCAGACAUCCCAUGGAGUACAUGCCUUUUGCUGAACUGAUACUCCUGUUUUGUUUCUUGAGUUAGGAAGCACAAACGCAUACACCACUGUACACGGUAUGUUUUUACCAGAACCUUUUUUUGAUGUUCAAACAAGUUUUGCUUCAGAUUCCACCUGUUAAACAGGUUGGAUUGGAGAUGGUUUUGGAUUAGUUCUACUUUUUCCAAAGCUACCUGGCCUACUCUCUUGUGUAGGUGUGAUUGUCUAUGAACAUGUGUAACGUGCCGAAUCAUACCAUCACUCCAAUCAUUGGUAUGCUUGGUAAUGCCAAACACGAUGUACCUUCAGCCAUUGAAAGAAGACUCUGGGGGCAGGAGUACCAUGGUGGGAAAGUGAGAAAGGGGUGGACUUCCAGAAGGCCCUCAGUAUCAAAGCGGGCCUUCAGAAAACCUCUUGCCAUUUCCCCCUUAGCACUGCAAGCAUUAAUCGAGAUGGCAAGUGGAGAUGAUUCUGGCACGUAUUUUGAGUGCUAGCCAACUGGAUCGUUGGAGUUUGACUACACCAAUGGCUUCCAACAAAUGGCAGCUUUAUCUGUAGCACUUUUGUGUGUGGAUCAUCAUUUCUCAUUGAGAGAUUUGAUGGAGCUACUCUCCCGAGGGAGAAACCUGUGGAAGCUUAUGCGUGAGCGAUGUGAGCGUGAAACCAAAAACCCGAAUCUCAUCCAUUGUAUAGAAUUGCUCCCACAAAAUGGCUUACUAUCUCUGAUUCUGUUUUUACUUUGGGGUUUUAGCAUUUUGCAAAAUGUGAUGUAUAUUGUACAGAAGUCGGCCUGCGCGGUGGAUUAUAUGUUAUUGUCUUCAGUAGUCCAGAGUCUGUUAGACUCACAAUCCUCUUGACCCUAUUCUGACCUUAUGAGACUGCUGAGUCCUCAUGUUCUCACACUGGUUGUGAAUCAAAGGAGGCUGUGUCAGCCGUGAUAUUGUGUGAAACACCAAAUGCUCCAGGUGCAAGGCGAUUGUAGCCAAGUCUGCUCAUAGAGAGAAAACAUUUGCCUUUGUAGUUUUCUACAAUAAAACAUGG
Varanus komodoensis (Komodo dragon) is the source of this 3125-nucleotide long non-coding RNA. RefSeq lists it as uncharacterized. The record is from RefSeq and is a predicted model, not a curated record. The transcript has 3 exons. Lineage: Eukaryota; Metazoa; Chordata; Lepidosauria; Squamata; Varanidae.